Molecule: non-coding RNA, 86 nt
Organism: Xenopus tropicalis (tropical clawed frog)
Lineage: Eukaryota; Metazoa; Chordata; Amphibia; Anura; Pipidae
Source: Rfam
GGCUCUGUGGCGCAAUGGAUAGCCCAUUGGACUUCUAGGUGAAAGAAGAAAUUCAAAGGUUGUGGGUUCGGAUCCCAUCAGAGUCA